RNAcentral lists this ribosomal RNA (250 nucleotides) under uncultured bacterium. RNAcentral's name for it is "partial 16S ribosomal RNA". It matches the Rfam family "Bacterial small subunit ribosomal RNA", at positions 524 to 773 of the family's 1533-position model. The record is from RNAcentral.
UACGUAGGGAGCUAGCGUUACUCGGAAUCACUGGGCGUAAAGGGCGUGUAGGCGGAUGAGCAUGUCUGGUGUGAAAUCCCUCGGCUCAACUGGGGAAGUGCACCAGAAACUGCUCGUCUGGAGUGCGGGAGGGGAGAGUGGAACUCUUGGUGGAGCGGUGAAAUGCGUAGAUAUCAAGAGGAACGCCGGUGGCGAAAGCGGCUCUCUGGCCCGUUACUGACGCUGAGGCGCGAAAGCUAGGGGAGCAAGC